GCCCCGGUGGUGGAACUGGUAGACACAGCGGACUUAAAAUCCGCCGCCGACGAAAGAAGGCGUGCCGGUUCGAUCCCGGCCCGGGGCACCA
RNAcentral lists this transfer RNA (91 nucleotides) under Allobrachymonas sp. RNAcentral describes it as "tRNA-Leu". It matches the Rfam family "tRNA". Rfam says of the family: Transfer RNA (tRNA) molecules are approximately 80 nucleotides in length. Their secondary structure includes four short double-helical elements and three loops (D, anti-codon, and T loops). Further hydrogen bonds mediate the characteristic L-shaped molecular structure. tRNAs have two regions of fundamental functional importance: the anti-codon, which is responsible for specific mRNA codon recognition, and the 3' end, to which the tRNAs corresponding amino acid is attached (by aminoacyl-tRNA synthetases). tRNAs cope with the degeneracy of the genetic code in two manners: having more than one tRNA (with a specific anti-codon) for a particular amino acid; and 'wobble' base-pairing, i.e. permitting non-standard base-pairing at the 3rd anti-codon position. The record is from RNAcentral. Lineage: Bacteria; Pseudomonadati; Pseudomonadota; Betaproteobacteria; Burkholderiales; Comamonadaceae.